RNAcentral lists this ribosomal RNA (1263 nucleotides) under Enterococcus faecium. RNAcentral describes it as "bacterial SSU rRNA". It matches the Rfam family "Bacterial small subunit ribosomal RNA", at positions 202 to 1454 of the family's 1533-position model. The record is from RNAcentral. Lineage: Bacteria; Bacillati; Bacillota; Bacilli; Lactobacillales; Enterococcaceae.
AAGGCGCUUUCGGGUGUCGCUGAUGGAUGGACCCGCGGUGCAUUAGCUAGUUGGUGAGGUAACGGCUCACCAAGGCCACGAUGCAUAGCCGACCUGAGAGGGUGAUCGGCCACAUUGGGACUGAGACACGGCCCAAACUCCUACGGGAGGCAGCAGUAGGGAAUCUUCGGCAAUGGACGAAAGUCUGACCGAGCAACGCCGCGUGAGUGAAGAAGGUUUUCGGAUCGUAAAACUCUGUUGUUAGAGAAGAACAAGGAUGAGAGUAACUGUUCAUCCCUUGACGGUAUCUAACCAGAAAGCCACGGCUAACUACGUGCCAGCAGCCGCGGUAAUACGUAGGUGGCAAGCGUUGUCCGGAUUUAUUGGGCGUAAAGCGAGCGCAGGCGGUUUCUUAAGUCUGAUGUGAAAGCCCCCGGCUCAACCGGGGAGGGUCAUUGGAAACUGGGAGACUUGAGUGCAGAAGAGGAGAGUGGAAUUCCAUGUGUAGCGGUGAAAUGCGUAGAUAUAUGGAGGAACACCAGUGGCGAAGGCGGCUCUCUGGUCUGUAACUGACGCUGAGGCUCGAAAGCGUGGGGAGCAAACAGGAUUAGAUACCCUGGUAGUCCACGCCGUAAACGAUGAGUGCUAAGUGUUGGAGGGUUUCCGCCCUUCAGUGCUGCAGCUAACGCAUUAAGCACUCCGCCUGGGGAGUACGACCGCAAGGUUGAAACUCAAAGGAAUUGACGGGGGCCCGCACAAGCGGUGGAGCAUGUGGUUUAAUUCGAAGCAACGCGAAGAACCUUACCAGGUCUUGACAUCCUUUGACCACUCUAGAGAUAGAGCUUCCCCUUCGGGGGCAAAGUGACAGGUGGUGCAUGGUUGUCGUCAGCUCGUGUCGUGAGAUGUUGGGUUAAGUCCCGCAACGAGCGCAACCCUUAUUGUUAGUUGCCAUCAUUCAGUUGGGCACUCUAGCAAGACUGCCGGUGACAAACCGGAGGAAGGUGGGGAUGACGUCAAAUCAUCAUGCCCCUUAUGACCUGGGCUACACACGUGCUACAAUGGGAAGUACAACGAGUUGCGAAGUCGCGAGGCUAAGCUAAUCUCUUAAAGCUUCUCUCAGUUCGGAUUGCAGGCUGCAACUCGCCUGCAUGAAGCCGGAAUCGCUAGUAAUCGCGGAUCAGCACGCCGCGGUGAAUACGUUCCCGGGCCUUGUACACACCGCCCGUCACACCACGAGAGUUUGUAACAUCCCGAAGUCGGUGAGGUAACCUUUGGAGGCCAGCC